UACGAAGGGUGCAAGCGUUAAUCGGAAUUACUGGGCGUAAAGCGCGCGUAGGUGGUUCGUUAAGUUGGAUGUGAAAGCCCCGGGCUCAACCUGGGAACUGCAUCCAAAACUGGCAAGCUAGAGUAUGGCAGAGGGUGGUGGAAUUUCCUGUGUAGCGGUGAAAUGCGUAGAUAUAGGAAGGAACACCAGUGGCGAAGGCGACCACCGGGGCUAAUACUGACACUGAGGUGAGAAAGAGUGGGAAGCAAACAGGAUUAGAUACCAGUAGGC
Molecule: ribosomal RNA, 270 nt
Filed under: uncultured bacterium
Lineage: Bacteria
Description: partial 16S ribosomal RNA
Rfam family: Bacterial small subunit ribosomal RNA
Source: RNAcentral